Echinops telfairi (small Madagascar hedgehog) is the source of this 106-nucleotide small nuclear RNA. The record is from RefSeq and is a predicted model, not a curated record. Lineage: Eukaryota; Metazoa; Chordata; Mammalia; Afrosoricida; Tenrecidae.
GGGCUCAUUGUGGCGGCACAUAUACUAAAACUGGAAUGCUGCAGAGACAAUUCGUAUGGCCCUGUGCAAGAAUAACAUGCAAAAUAGUAAAGCAUUUCAUUUUCUU